CCCCCCCCGGCCCUAGGAGGUCAACCGCUACAAGGGCAAGAACUACCCCAUCAUGAACCUGCACGAGCGGACCCUGAGCGUGCUGGCCUGCCGGGUGAGUGGCCUGGAGCCCUGGCUGCCCCGGGACGUGGGCUGCCUGGCGGGAGGGGCCCGGGCUAGCCGCUUGCCCGCUGUCCCCACAGUACGUGUCGGAGGUGGUGAUCGGGGCCCCGUACGCGGUGACGGCAGAGCUCCUGGACCACUUCAAGGUGGACCUGGUGUGUCACGGGAAGACGGAGAUCGUGCCCGACAAGGACGGCUCCGACCCCUACCAGGUGGGCCUGGGCCGGCCCUCGGGGCCCGGCGUGCACGGGGCAGCCUCGCGGGUGGCGAGGGCACGACCACCCACACGUGCGAGGAGCUGCUGGCGCCGGCGGGCGGGGUGUGGCGGCCCCCGGGCGCCGGCCGGGCCUCAGCUCCUCCCCUCCGGCCGCCAGGAGCCCAAGAGGAGGGGCAUCUUCUGCCACACGGACAGCGGCAGUGACCUCACCACCGACCUCAUCGUCCAGAGGAUCAUCCGGAACAGGCUCGCGUACGAGGCCCGGAACCAGAAGAAGGAGGCCAAGGAGCUAGCCUUCCUGGAGGCCACGCGGAGGCUGGGCAGUGGCCCGCAAGCGGGAGCUGACUGACCGCUGCCCGGCAGGGGCGAGCGCCUCGGGCAGGGCCAGCGUGUGGGGACACGGGAAGCCCCGCGUGGGAGGCUGCCCCCCUUUCCUGCAGGCUGCACGGGGGCGCCCGCAGGAGCGCGGCCCAGAAGCACCGGCACGGGGUGCCUGCAGCCUCAACAGGGCGGCCGGGCCAGCUCCCCGCUGCUCCCAGGACACCCCCCUGCAGGGGCGGGGUGGGAGGAGCCUUCAGCCUGAACGUGGCGCGGAACAGCCGUGCAGGUGCUGCGCCCCCACUCGGCAUCCAGGAGCCAUGCCGCCCACCGGCCUGGCUGUGCUCUCCAGGACCUUCUCUUCUCUGGGUUGUAUCUCCCCUGCCUGAGAGCACUCUC
RNAcentral lists this long non-coding RNA (1036 nucleotides) under Dasypus novemcinctus (nine-banded armadillo). RNAcentral describes it as "lncRNA (ENSDNOG00000050949.1)". Lineage: Eukaryota; Metazoa; Chordata; Mammalia; Cingulata; Dasypodidae. The record is from RNAcentral.